RNAcentral lists this ribosomal RNA (443 nucleotides) under uncultured bacterium. RNAcentral describes it as "partial 16S ribosomal RNA". It matches the Rfam family "Bacterial small subunit ribosomal RNA", at positions 338 to 795 of the family's 1533-position model. The record is from RNAcentral.
CCUACGGGCGGCAGCAGUGGGGAAUAUUGGGCAAUGGGCGCAAGCCUGACCCAGCAACGCCGCGUGAAGGAAGAAGGCUUUCGGGUUGUAAACUUCUUUUCUCAGGGACGAAGAAAGUGACGGUACCUGAGGAAUAAGCCACGGCUAACUACGUGCCAGCAGCCGCGGUAAUACGUAGGUGGCAAGCGUUAUCCGGAUUUACUGGGUGUAAAGGGCGUGUAGGCGGGGAAGCAAGUCAGAUGUGAAAACCACGGGCUCAACCUGUGGCCUGCAUUUGAAACUGUUUUUCUUGAGUACUGGAGAGGCAGACGGAAUGCCUAGUGUAGCGGUGAAAUGCGUAGAGAUUAGGAGGAACACCAGUGGCGAAGGCGGUCUGCUGGACAGCAACUGACGCUGAGGCGCGAAAGCGUGGGGAGCAAACAGGAUUAGAUACCCCUGUAGUC